AUAUUACUGAUGUCCUUAUAGGAAGGGCAAUCAAGAUUAUGAUGCAGACAGAGGGCUGACCAUGUAAGGACACAGCAAAAAGGCAACCAUCUGUAAGCCAAAGAGAGAGGCCUCAGAAGAAACCGAACCUGCUGACAUCUCGAUCUUAAACUUCUAGCUUCCAGGAAUGUCAGACGCCCACAAAGACACAACAGAAGUGGUGACCACACACAAUGGAGAUGAAGCGUCGUGCGGUGGAGGGACCGCAAGCUGAGCCGAGGGAUGGGCAAGAGGCAGGGGAGCCGCGGGCCCUGGGCACAGGGGGACGGGCCGGCGCCCAGGUGAAGAGCGUGCAAGCAGGCCACAGGGCCCCGGCCGGACGCACCUGCUGCCCCUCACAGCCUGCCCUGCGCUCUGGUCCUGCCUGGAAGCAAAUGGUUCAAAAUCAAGAUGGCUUGAAGGAAGCCAAGACAGAAAAUACCAAGAACUGAGUCCCUAAAAUUGUGUUCAGUGAAGUUGAAGACCAGAGGUUGAGACUUGAGCAAAAUGUUUGUUCCCACGAGGAUGAUGUAACGUCCAUUGGGGCUCCCCAGAGGAGGAGACACUUAUUAGAAGGAAAAGGGUUCUUGCGAUGACGGAGGCCGCGUCCCAAGGCCUGUCACCUGCACGCCGGAGGCCCAGCAAGGCUCCCCGCAGGCCCCGAUGACUGCUUGCUGUCCCCUCGCACCGCCCAGGCCAUCUGCUCGACCCCGUCUCCCAGCGCAGCCCUAAUCGCUUCCAGGAACACGCACCGACACACAAUAGGGAUUCAACAAACGGCUGCCCCCCCCCCCCGCCCCGGGAAGAUGGCACGCCAAGGUAACCACCGCGCUCCUCUCGGUUACCUAGAGUGUUAAGGCUGAACAAGACUUUUGAGUGAAGCCUUCUCGUUUAAAGGUGGGGAAACCGAGGUCCCUGGAGAGGUAAGAGACUCAACUCAGAAACUUGACUCAGAGCUGGAAAUAAGCCCGGAUGAAUUAUGCCAUGGUUGAAUACCAACCACUGGAUGAUAAUGUUCUUAUUACUCAUUUCUGGGGUGUUGGACAUUUUUCAUUGGUUAAAACUAGGAAAGGUCUCACUUCCACAAGAUGAUUUUUCUUCUUCCUUUGCUGUUUCUCCUCUUCUUCCCAGUGCUUUCCACUAUUCUCAUCUCAGAAACACUUUGGCCAACUCGUCCGCCAUCUCCAUCACCGCUCCAUUGCCCCCUCAGCGCAGUCAGGACAGGACUCCAUCACACACGGCAGAGGCGCUGUGAUGAAGGUGCUGUGUCCAUUCCUACUGAACAGAUGGAUUUCGUGGCAGGGUCAUACAACCAGGCCCACUGCCCCUCUAAAAGUUGACAAUGAUGGAUUGAAGCAUCUGACAUUCAGACCUUCUUCCAGACUUUUCUUUCCCUUGAGAAGGAACCUUUGCUAGACAACAUCUGUCAGGACUCUUGAAGCACCCUACGUGUCUUUCCUCACCAACAAAAUGUUUAAGGAACAUCAAUAAGUAAAACGUCCAAAUCAUUUUCUGGAAGAAUCUGCCCAUGACAGCAAAAGGGCCUUUACAUCCAAAGGCGCUGGUGAAGUAGUACGAAGCUAGAGAAGUUAGAACCACUCUACCUUGAAAGGCAUCAGAUGCCCGAAGCUCUUUCCCUGGCUAGGAAAAGCCAAGCACAGAGAGUAUUCCCAGCCUCUGAAGUCACCCUGAGGACCUCCCAGCUCCUACCUCAGUCCUUUGGCCUGAGGUUCUUCCCUCCUUGUCUUGCCCUCCUAUAUGACAUCACAAUGACUGCAUCAGUUUGCCUGGAAAGGAUCCCAUCUUCCCUCAGUGACCACUUGCCACCAACCACUGGCCUAGAUACUGGUGACCAACCACAUCACCAUCCUUAUUUCCCUUUUUGAAGAAUUGCAUUUGAAUUACAUAACAGGAGAAUGCUUGAAAAUUGUGUUAUGAAACUCUCUCUGCUCGUCACACCCCACCGGAGGGAAUUCGAGGGUGUUUGCUCACAGUAUCUGUUUUCAUAACAGCUUCUGAUGAAUACAGAUAAUCAAAAAAAAUUGCCAGGUUUAUGUGUGAAUCUACUGGGCAUCAAACCCUCAUCUUGGUCCCAGUUCAAGGAUCAUUUUCUAACAUUCUUAUAUGUACUGAAUAUAUUGCCAAGAAAUACAAAAACCCAGUCUACUGUGUCCAGGUUGAGCCGAAAUGCACUUAAAAAGUGUUUGUGAUAAGAUUUCAUUAACGAACCUCCCUACCUGGCACACACGUUCUCGAAUACACUCUACUCCCAGGAAUCUCUUAAAACUUGUUCAGAUCGAACAAUACAAAGACCUCGGAGCAGUCUGUGAUUUUUAAGGGAAGUUUUCGAAACGGAAUCUACCAGUUGGGCGUUUUUGUCAUUGGUUUCAAGAGGAAUUUUUGGAGACUGUCCAGAGAGGAUAAUCGUUUAUGAGCACGAUGAUCGCAGGCUCCGUGGCGCUUCAGCUUUCUGGAGGGCGCAGUGAAUAUGUAGAGCCCUUGAAAUAAACCCUCAGAGCACUGGCGCACAUCGCGUGGGACUCUUCCCUGAGACUGGUUUAUUCAAAGCAGAAAAUGUUAGGCAAAGAUGAAGAACUGUCUUCAGGGAAGACAUAUUUCACAUUCUUGUAGGCCUAAUGACAUAAAAUUGAAUAAAUGAGUAUUGCCGCUAAAUGAAAAGUAUAAAUCUCUUUCCCUCUUGCUAGCCCAUUUCCCUCAAAUAUUCUGCUUUAGAGCCUGUGCUAAUUUUUCUGUAGACAAAGGACCACUGGGGAGAAAUUUAUAUUUAAAAUGAACUCCUAUGGAUUAGAAUUCUUCAAGAAAGCUACUAUUCAGUGACAUUUACGGGGAUGAGAAACCAAUCUAGGCCAUUCGAACUCUAACAAUGAUGUUCCUGGAAAGGGUGUCAUAGGUCAAAACGAUGGAAGUGGGAACUAAUUUGUGGGUGUGUGUGUUAAGGUUCUGAUGCUCAGACUCACUAGAAAUGGCCCUUGGCGACGUAUUUAACCAACUACGGAAUGUUACCCUCGUGUAGAGCUCGCAAAGGGAAAGGCAGCGUAGUUGGGUGAGUGCGAGGCCUCUGAGCAGAUAGUCCGCAAUGACCUCUGGCCCAUGACUCAGGAAGUAUCCGAGCAGCUGUGCUUUGCCCAGUUCACUCCCAGAGAGCGUUGUGUGCAAUGCCUCUCUCCGCUCCAGUUUGGAGAAGAGGUAUAGCUGAUCAGACCACACAAUAUGCCCAGAUCCAGAGAAAUAGGGGGCUGCGGCCUUGCAAAACCAGGGAGAAGCCGUUCGUGGGAUGAGCAGCCCUCAGCAGGAGGCGAAGGGGGCCCCUCUGGAAAUGGGAUUGAGGGACCCUGCUUCAAAGGCACCUUGAGAUAGAAAUUAGAACUAAAAAAAUAAUAAUAAAAAAUAAAGAAAUUAGAACUAUUCCAUAUCCCAUGUGGCAAGAUCAGCUCAGAAGGGAAGUCCAAACAGAACAAGAACAGAAGCCGUUCUUCAUGGGCCCUAAGGAUCUUGCCGAUUCCUUCUUGAAAAGGGACAGAACAGCAUUUGUUUGUUGUAUGUAGCUCGGCUUAAAAUCACUGCGUGUGGUUUCCAUUAGAUCGAGUGGGUUCAAGCAUCUUCAGUUAAUUCUUUUGCCAUCCUCCUUGGGUCCUAGCACAACCCCUAGAGACGAAGAUAUUGGGGUUAAACGAACUCUAUUUGUCGCUGGUCUGGCACGCUCCAGAUUCUGACUCAGUAUCAUUCCUUACAAAAUGCGACUUUAGGGUCUUGCUGAUGUCUGGGGGCACUAUUACGUUCAAAUGGGUACUGUAAAGAUUUAAGUGCCUAUAAAUCAACUUAAUGCAGCAUAAU
Long non-coding RNA from Canis lupus familiaris (dog), 3873 nucleotides. RefSeq lists it as uncharacterized. The record is from RefSeq and is a predicted model, not a curated record. Lineage: Eukaryota; Metazoa; Chordata; Mammalia; Carnivora; Canidae. The transcript has 3 exons.